AACUUUCAACAACGGAUCUCUUGGUUCUGGCAUCGAUGAAGAACGCAGCGAAAUGCGAUAAGUAAUGUGAAUUGCAGAAUUCAGUGAAUCAUCGAAUCUUUGAACGCACAUUGCGCCCCUUGGUAUUCCGAGGGGCAUGCCCGUUCGAGCGUCAUUA
This 157-nucleotide ribosomal RNA is filed under the name Leohumicola minima. Its description in RNAcentral is "5.8S ribosomal RNA". It matches the Rfam family "5.8S ribosomal RNA". From Rfam's summary of the family: 5.8S ribosomal RNA (5.8S rRNA) is a component of the large subunit of the eukaryotic ribosome. It is transcribed by RNA polymerase I as part of the 45S precursor that also contains 18S and 28S rRNA. Lineage: Eukaryota; Fungi; Ascomycota; Leotiomycetes. The record is from RNAcentral. RNAcentral also lists the same sequence under 1 other name.